This 1441-nucleotide ribosomal RNA is filed under the name Lepisiota xichangensis. RNAcentral describes it as "partial 28S ribosomal RNA". It matches the Rfam family "Eukaryotic large subunit ribosomal RNA", at positions 364 to 1413 of the family's 3401-position model. Lineage: Eukaryota; Metazoa; Arthropoda; Insecta; Hymenoptera; Formicidae. The record is from RNAcentral.
UUGAAAAGAACUUUGAAGAGAGAGUUCAAGAGUACGUGAAACCGUUCAGGGGUAAACCUAAGAAACCCAAAAGAUCGAACGGGGAGAUUCAUCGUCAGCGACGCUGGCUUCGCGUCGGUGGGCGAUGUCCCGCGGAGUCCUCGCGGCUCGCGCGCGGACACGCUGCCGUGCGUCGAUGUCCGGCGUUCGUCGUCGUGCACUUCUCCCCUAGUAGAACGUCGCGACCCGCUGGGUGUCGGUCUACGGUCCGGGUGCGGUGACUGACGCGUCGCCGGUAAAACGGCACGCGUCAAACCCUCGGUCGCCCGGCCGGCUGCCCGGCGGUACGCGCAAGGUAUCAGGCCGCACUUUGGUGUGCGUCGAGACCGUCGCAAGCGCGCGCCACGGUACUCGGAGGUACGGACUUUGCGCCGUCCCCGGUCCUGGCCCGCUGUUGGUUAAAGUACGGUUCGCCUUCGACAGGCCUGCGAACGUCUUCCUCUCGGGGAAGACCGAUACCGGUCAGCGACGCUACUGCUUUGGGUACUCUUAGGACCCGUCUUGAAACACGGACCAAGGAGUCUAACAUGUACGCGAGUCAUUGGGACUUAUCGCGAGACCUAAAGGCGUAAUGAAAGUGAAGGUCGGCCCUGGUUGUCGACCGAGGGAGGAUGGGCCGCGUCGCGACGCGGCUCCGCACUCCCGGGGCGUCUCGUUCUCAUCGCGAGAAGAGGCGCACCUAGAGCGUACACGUUGGGACCCGAAAGAUGGUGAACUAUGCCUGGUCAGGACGAAGUCAGGGGAAACCCUGAUGGAGGUCCGUAGCGAUUCUGACGUGCAAAUCGAUCGUCGGAACUGGGUAUAGGGGCGAAAGACUAAUCGAACCAUCUAGUAGCUGGUUCCCUCCGAAGUUUCCCUCAGGAUAGCUGGCACUCGGCCGUUCCGCACGGAACGCGCGCGAGUCUCAUCUGGUAAAGCGAAUGAUUAGAGGCCUUGGGGCCGAAACGACCUCAACCUAUUCUCAAACUUUAAAUGGGUGAGAUCUCUGGCUUUCUUGAACUAUGAAGCCACGAGCAUAUUCGGAUCAGAGUGCCAAGUGGGCCAUUUUUGGUAAGCAGAACUGGCGCUGUGGGAUGAACCAAACGCAGAGUUAAGGCGCCCAACUCGACGCUCAUGGGACACCAUGAAAGGCGUUGGUUGCUUAAGACAGCAGGACGGUGGCCAUGGAAGUCGGAAUCCGCUAAGGAGUGUGUAACAACUCACCUGCCGAAGCAACUAGCCCUGAAAAUGGAUGGCGCUGAAGCGUCGAGCCUAUACUCUGCCGUCAGCGGCAAGUGGGGCGGCAACGGGAGCGAUGUGCGCGACGAAGUCGUGUAAGCGAUCUCGUCGUCGUAAGCGUCUCUCGCGUCGUCACGAAGCCCUGACGAGUAGGAGGGUCGCGACGGUGUGCGCAGAAGGGUCU